This 260-nucleotide unclassified non-coding RNA is filed under the name plant metagenome. RNAcentral's name for it is "partial contains small subunit ribosomal RNA, internal transcribed spacer 1, and 5.8S ribosomal RNA". The record is from RNAcentral.
UUUCCGUAGGUGAACCUGCGGAAGGAUCAUUACCGAAUUGUCAAACGGGUUGUUGCUGGUCUUCAAACGGGGACAUGUGCACGCUCUGUUUACACAUCCACUCACACCUGUGCACCCCCCGUAGUUCUAUGGUCUGGGGGACCCUGUCUUCCUGCCGUGGUUCUACGUCUUUACACACACUCUGUAAUAAAGUCUUAUGGAAUGUAUGCCGCGUCUAACGCAAUACAAUACAACUUUCAGCAACGGAUCUCUUGGCUCUC